Molecule: ribosomal RNA, 322 nt
Filed under: uncultured eukaryote
Lineage: Eukaryota
Description: partial 18S ribosomal RNA
Rfam family: Eukaryotic small subunit ribosomal RNA
Source: RNAcentral
CCCUUAGAUGUUCUGGGCCGCACGCGCGCUACACUGAUGCGUUCAACAAGUUUCCUUGGCCGAGAGGCCUGGGCAAUCUUCUUCAUAUGUAUCGUGAUAGGGAUAGAUUAUUGCAAUUAUUAAUCUUGAACGAGGAAUUCCUAGUAAACGCAGAUCAUCAAUCUGCAUUGAUUACGUCCCUGCCCUUUGUACACACCGCCCGUCGCACCUACCGAUUGGAUGUUCCGGUGAAGCCUCGGGAUGAGGACUGGUGCCUUUAUUGGCAUGAGUUGUUCAGAACUUGUCUAAACCUUAUCAUCUAGAGGAAGGUGAAGUCGUAACA